Molecule: ribosomal RNA, 894 nt
Filed under: Tenericutes bacterium P19x1ox-fac
Lineage: Bacteria; Bacillati; Mycoplasmatota
Description: bacterial SSU rRNA
Rfam family: Bacterial small subunit ribosomal RNA
Source: RNAcentral
GACGAGGAUAACCAUUGGAAACGAUGGCUAAGACUGGAUAGGAAUAUAUGAGGCAUCUUAAAUAUUUUAAAAGACCUAGCAAUAGGUAUACUUAAGGAGGGGCCUGCGGCGCAUUAGUUAGUUGGUGAGGUGAGAGCUCACCAAGACGAUGAUGCGUAGCCGGACUGAGAGGUUGAACGGCCACAUUGGGACUGAGAAACGGCCCAAACUCCUACGGGAGGCAGCAGUAGGGAAUUUUCGGCAAUGGAGGAAACUCUGACCGAGCAACGCCGCGUGAAUGACGAAGUACUUCGGUAUGUAAAGUUCUUUUAUCAAGGAAGAAUGACUCGUGGAAAAACGAGUGUGACGGUACUUGAUGAAUAAGCCCCGGCUAACUAUGUGCCAGCAGCCGCGGUAAUACAUAGGGGGCAAGCGUUAUCCGGAAUUAUUGGGCGUAAAGGGUGCGUAGGCGGUUAUUUAAGUCUUUGGUGUAAGUGCAAGGCUCAACCUUGUGAUGCUAAGGAAACUGGAUAACUUGAGUGUGAUAGAGGUAAGUGGAAUUCCAUGUGUAGCGGUAAAAUGCGUAAAUAUAUGGAGGAACACCAGUGGCGAAGGCGGCUUACUGGGUCACAACUGACGCUGAGGCACGAAAGCGUGGGGAGCAAACAGGAUUAGAUACCCUGGUAGUCCACGCCGUAAACGAUGAGUACUAAGUGUUGGAGAAAUUCAGUGCUGUAGUUAACGCAAUAAGUACUCCGCCUGAGUAGUACGUGCGCAAGCAUGAAACUCAAAGGAAUUGACGGGACCCCGCACAAGCGGUGGAUCAUGUUGUUUAAUUCGAUGAUACGCGAAGAACCUUACCAGGUCUUGACAUCCCAUGCAAAGCUUAAGAGAUUAAGUGGAGGUUAUCAUGGA